Molecule: microRNA, 21 nt
Filed under: Hordeum vulgare
Lineage: Eukaryota; Viridiplantae; Streptophyta; Magnoliopsida; Poales; Poaceae
Description: hvu-miR5049a
Source: miRBase by way of RNAcentral
UCCUAAAUACUUGUUGUUGGG